AUGUUUCCAGUCAUCAUCUCAUUCCUGGGGAUACAGUUUUUCAUGGAUGUCCAAGCACAGUCAGUUACACAGCUGGAUACCCAUGUCACUGUCUUUGAAGGAAACUUGGUGGAGCUCAGAUGCAGCUAUUCCUACAGUGGAGCUCCUUACCUCUUCUGGUACAUGCAGCGCCCUGGCCAUGGCCUCCGGCUUCUCCUCAGCUACCGUUCAGGAAGCUCUGCGGUUCGUGGAAUAAAUGGCUUUGAGGCUAACUUUCAGAAGAGUAACUCUUCCUUCCACCUGAAGAAAACCUCUGUGCACUGGAGUGACUCGGCUGUGUACUUCUGUGCUCUGAGUGCACAAUGUCUGAGGCUGCAGGGGGAGCUGAACACAAACCUGUAA
Microtus oregoni (creeping vole) is the source of this 381-nucleotide non-coding RNA. Lineage: Eukaryota; Metazoa; Chordata; Mammalia; Rodentia; Cricetidae. The record is from the annotation of a RefSeq genome assembly.